AUAAAAAUUAGUUAAUUAAUAACGUUAGUUUGUCAGGCUAAAAUAAUCAUACGAUAUUUUUA
RNAcentral lists this transfer RNA (62 nucleotides) under Cherax dispar. Its description in RNAcentral is "tRNA-Asp". Lineage: Eukaryota; Metazoa; Arthropoda; Malacostraca; Decapoda; Parastacidae. The record is from RNAcentral.